Molecule: ribosomal RNA, 365 nt
Filed under: Clostridioides difficile
Lineage: Bacteria; Bacillati; Bacillota; Clostridia; Peptostreptococcales; Peptostreptococcaceae
Description: bacterial LSU rRNA
Rfam family: Bacterial large subunit ribosomal RNA
Source: RNAcentral
AGUGCGUAAUAGCUCACUGGUCGAGUGAUCCUGCGCCGAAGAUUUCCGGGGCUAAAACUUACUACCGAAGCUACGGCAUCAGUAAUGAUGGGUAGGGGAGCUUCCCAUACGGGUUGAAGCAUGACCGUAAGGACAUGUGGACAGCAUGGGAGUGAGAAUGUUGGCAUGAGUAGCGAGAUGUGGGUGAGAAUCCCACAGGCCGUAAACCCAAGGUUUCCAGGGGAUGGUUCGUCCGCCCUGGGUUAGUCGGGACCUAAGCUGAGGCCGAAAGGCGUAGGUGAUGGACAACAGGUUGAUAUUCCUGUACUACCGAUAACCGUUUGAGAGAAGGGAUGACACAGUAGGAUAAGCUAAGCACACUGUUG